RNAcentral lists this unclassified non-coding RNA (652 nucleotides) under Hevea brasiliensis (rubber tree). Lineage: Eukaryota; Viridiplantae; Streptophyta; Magnoliopsida; Malpighiales; Euphorbiaceae. The record is from RNAcentral.
GCUUUGCAAUGCAUUGCAUGUACCAAAAUAACUUGAGAAGGGCAACAACUCGCAAGAUUUAUAUAAGGUUCAAUUUGUACAAAUUACAUAUAAAUGAUAUAUACGUCAAAAAGCUUAUCAGCUAACAGCAUCAAUGAGAUAUGAAUGGCUGCAACUCUCUUUUUCUUGCCGAUUUCGGUUCGUCAUCUCCUAUAAUUAACAGUAAGGCAAGCCAAUUUUCUGCAUGGUCCCACUAUCUGACUCUACGUGUCUUCUGCUCAUUAACGAUAAACAAAUUUCUUUUGUUAAGGAAGCUGCUGCAGUCAAAUGUGGAGUUUCAAGCAUACUGGACUGUACAGCGGCUGAAACAAGUUGCCUCUCAAAAGUAGCAAGAGGCCGAGGUCCUUUGGUUUGAGGGCAGAACUGAAAGAAGCACAGAGCACAAGGAGAUCUUCAUCCAGCACCUCCAUUAACAGCUCAACUCUCAUCAAGAACAAUAUCAGCUGGAUCUCCAAUCCAUGGCCUCCCUUCUUUCCACUGAAACUUAAUCCUUAGCUUACCAUUUGCAUCUACACCAACUACCCAGCCUUUGCUUGCUUGAGUCUCCAUUCCCCACCCCCACCGUGGUGUUAUAAUCCCUUCCUUAAUUCUCACUUUGUCCCCCACUUUGAAU